CUCCCGUUGAUGAGCUUAAGAUAUACUCGCUAAAUUUUGUUGUUGUUCUCAAAAGUCGUAUAUCAGUGCUCGUGAAAUAUAGACGAAGGGUCAUACAGGUGAACUCAGCUGAAGUUUGAAGAAAAUCAAUUGCACCGUUACAAUCCAAUAGUCAAUCAGAGCUUCAAUUUGAAAAUAUGACAAAGCCUACUGUGAAACCCGAGAACUGAGAUCGGAUGAAGCCAGCAUCUUCCGGAGUUGCCGUCUCAGAUAGCACAUUUUGACCAGUGAAGAAAAAGAGAAUUGAAGAAUAAGAGCGAGAUCAGUAGUGAAGAAAUAGAACAUUGAAAAGAGUAAAAAAAGAAACUAGAUUCACCUUCUUCUAAUCCUUUUUAUUUUUUUUGGGAAGUGAAUGAAUUUCGGAAGUUCUCGCUGGGCGUUUCACAAUUCAGUGAAAGUGUUCGUUUUUUUCCUUCUCUCCUGGUGUUGCUAAUCAUCUUCGAAAGUUAUUGAGAUAUAAUCCUAUUCGUGUUUGAUUUUGCCUCAUGUAAAUGCAUGGAUAUCAUUUUAAUACAUUGAAGUUAAUUUGUUUGAGCUGAUACUCAA
Molecule: non-coding RNA, 585 nt
Organism: Nicotiana tabacum (common tobacco)
Lineage: Eukaryota; Viridiplantae; Streptophyta; Magnoliopsida; Solanales; Solanaceae
Source: RefSeq, a predicted model, not a curated record